This 465-nucleotide ribosomal RNA is filed under the name Vreelandella stevensii. RNAcentral's name for it is "partial 16S ribosomal RNA". It matches the Rfam family "Bacterial small subunit ribosomal RNA", at positions 338 to 795 of the family's 1533-position model. The record is from RNAcentral. Lineage: Bacteria; Pseudomonadati; Pseudomonadota; Gammaproteobacteria; Oceanospirillales; Halomonadaceae.
CCUACGGGUGGCAGCAGUGGGGAAUAUUGGACAAUGGGCGAAAGCCUGAUCCAGCCAUGCCGCGUGUGUGAAGAAGGCCUUCGGGUUGUAAAGCACUUUCAGUGGGGAAGAAAGCCUUGGGGCUAAUACCCUCGAGGAAGGACAUCACCCACAGAAGAAGCACCGGCUAACUCCGUGCCAGCAGCCGCGGUAAUACGGAGGGUGCGAGCGUUAAUCGGAAUUACUGGGCGUAAAGCGCGCGUAGGCGGUCUGAUAAGCCGGUUGUGAAAGCCCCGGGCUCAACCUGGGAACGGCAUCCGGAACUGUCAGGCUAGAGUGCAGGAGAGGAAGGUAGAAUUCCCGGUGUAGCGGUGAAAUGCGUAGAGAUCGGGAGGAAUACCAGUGGCGAAGGCGGCCUUCUGGACUGACACUGACGCUGAGGUGCGAAAGCGUGGGAAGCAAACAGGAUUAGAUACCCCGGUAGUC